ACCAUUGUCUCAGUUUAUGCAGCAAAAUGACCACUCCCUCCUCAUUCCAUUAUCAAUGGGUCUCCAAGUCCUUUAAAAUUCCAAUCUUCUCAAUUCCUUUCAAGUACCCCCCUCUUCUUCCCAUCUGCAUUUUUCACAAUAUUCAUUUCACAGACAGGAGAUAAAUGAAUAAAGAGCCCAUGUAUUCCCCAAUUACAGCUGCAGGUAAGUCUCCAGAAAGAACUUCAAUGGAAUGCGGAUCAUCAGACGGCUAUUGAGAUGAUUAAAUGAUUUAAGAAAAACUUGGAAAGUGUCUUUAAAUGCAAACGUAAGACAUUGUGAUGUUUUUAUUCAGGCCAGGGAAAAAAAAAUUAGUAACUUAAUGGCAAGCUGUCACUUGAAAUUACAGCAACACGGUAUCAAGGUAUCAAAAAACAUCCAGGAGUAAACCACCUGAUCUAAAUCUAGUCACAAAGAUGGCCUGGUUCAUGGCCAGCUAAGGAAAAGGGGCCCGGGUAACUACCCAGACCUUCAGCUGGGAUUCCCAAGGGCUAAAUCAAAGCAGUACACAUAAUAGACCAGAAACCCAGCAGCCCUCAUGCAGACUCAAGGCUACCUUUGGAAGAACUUAAUUCCCACAUGUAUCUAGGUGUUCUGUCUUCACCCUGCCCACCUCCAGGAAGAAAAGUAAACAGAAGAAGGUAUCACCCAGAGCUCAGUAUUAUCGCUAUGCUUUUAAGAUGCAGUGCCCAGCAUUCAUCUAAAAUAGUCACGCUUAUAAAACUAAGAACUAACCAAAAAUUUAAGAAGGGCAAAGAAACAAUAGAAACAGACCCACAGGAAAUUCAGGCAUUGUAGUUAUCAGAUGACUUUAGAAUAACUGAUUAGUAUGUUUAAUGAAUCAUCCAAAGAAUUUCAGGGUGAAGUGAAUCAAAAAGACCUAAUUUAAAAUAGAAACACUGUAAGAAAGUAUUCAAUAUAUGGGUUUAACGGCUUACCAUGUAUACCUGAAUGGAUAAAAUGAAGUGGAUGCUACGUGAAGAGGAAGUAUCCAGAUUAAAGCAUCAAGAAAAAAGCUGGAAAAGCAACAUAUGAAACCCAAGUUAAUAUACAUGUAAUUAGAAUAGCAGAUGACAGAAGAAAAUGGGCUAAAAGCAUUAUCUGAAGACAAUGACUGGAAUUUUCCAAAACUUAUUUUUAAACAACAACAAAGCCAAAGGUUCAAGAAGUGCCACACAUUGAGUUAGGUAAACCCAAGGAAAUUCAUACCUAGACCAUUAUAGAAAAACUGCUGAAAACCAAAGACAAAAAAACCAAAACCUUAAAACUGCAGAAACACAUAGUGAACAUUAUUAAAGCUGAAAGGGUGGCAGAGGUAGAGAGUUAACAGAGGAGACUGUUUUCGAAUGGCAAAAAUAAGACUAAAGAAUCAGGGCAGCCAGAAGACACAAUAUCAGACAUGCUAUUUUUAAUGCACUGAAAGUAAUUUCCAAGAAUUCUGUACCCAAUGAAAACACCCUGCAAAAAAGAGACAAUAUAAAGUCCUUUAUAUACCAUCUGAGGAAUCUUAUCACCAGGAGACCUGAACUGAAGAAAUUCUCAAAGGAGCUUUUAAGGCAGAAGGGAAACAAUUCCAGGUGAAAGCACGUGGUAUAGUGAGUAUUUUAAAUAGAUCUGAAAAUAUCAGAUUGAAAAUCUAAAGAUUUAAGAGUAUCUUUAAGUCAGUGAUCUGUUCACAAUAUUUGUUUUAAUGACUUGAAUGGCAUAAGAUAUUGAAAAUAAUGGACUUAUAAAUAUGUUAAGCAUUGAAGUUUCCAAAAUAUACCCCCAUAUACCACAAAAACUAACCAAUUCACCUUUACCGAAAAGCUCAUUAUGACUUGGAGCUGUGUAUUUACCUACAUUUGCCCUUCAACUACCAUGUAUUCCCAUCCAUCCCUUUCUGAACCAUCAAAAUCUGUUUUUCCUUCAAGACCCAUUUUUUAAGUUUCCCUAACAAAACGUUUAUCACCUAUUACGUGCCGCUUUCGAUUGAUUGUGCACCUGGCACUAUAUUGGCUUCUAGGGCAGGAAGACAGAAUGUAACCAUUGUCUUCUCAGUGUAGAGGUUAUCUGGUUAUCUUUUCUGACUGCACACAACUGAAUAUAUUCUCUCCCUCUUCUAACAGGGAAAACUUUUAACAGACAUUUGUUUUUGUUGGUUUUUUUUAAAGUCAUCGCUAACCCCCAAACUGAGACUCUUGCAUCAAUCAUCUCCCUACAUCAUUUAGCACAAGAGUUCUGCACACCAGGGCCUUUACACACAUACCCACUGAAUUAAAUCUUGACAAGAGGAAGCAGUGGGUACCAGCUCACAUCAGAGUUUAGUAGAAACAAACAAAAUCCUUCAUUUAAGAUUUUUUAAAAUGAACUGCAUAAGCAUUGAGUGGGAAAGCCCUGACUUGUCAUAUGAACAGAAUACCUUAACAUUUUAGCUAAUAAAAAGCUUGAUAUAUUGCAAAUGUAUUCUGUAGAUGGACUCUCACUCUUAGAGGCUAGAGCAGACUUAGUACACAUGAAGCCAUCUUGCCACCCCAACACCUCCAGAAACCUAAAUUCCCUAAUGGGUCUCAAAAUCGAUAUUCAACAGAAACCUUCUUAGCCAUUCGGCAUCUCAAGCACAGAUAAAAACUGUACUACCAACUCAUCGUUCCCUGAGCUUUGAAAUAAUGUGACUUUUGCCCAGGUUUCCGCCACUUCCCAGAACAAUUUUGAAUGUUCUUCACUUGUGAAGUUAAACUUUGUGUUCUAGCUUCCUUGGUUAUUUUUUUAACCCUUGAAGGAUUAAAAUUGUUCGACAGGCAAGUCUAGAUUUUACCACAUGGUGUUCUGAGCCAAAACAAAAUUCACUGCAAGGUCUGGACAUUUGAAGUCUCACCUCCCUUGUUAAUUCUGUAACUCAAGCUUCGAAAAAAUAUCAUAAAACCCCCUCUGUCUGACCUGGCACUCUGUGAUACAGAACCGGAGUAAUAUCACUUCUUUCUCUCACCCCUUUAAUCUUUUCCAAAUGUUGUUCUUAGUGCUUCUACCUUCAAUUGGACAGGUGUUGUUUUGUUUUUAAAUACAGACACCUAUCUCCUUAAUAAAUACAAGAGAAUGGAUAUACUAGAGUUUGACGGGACUCAGGUGUACAUUCAGACAUCAUUAGGUCUCAACCGCAGUUCUACUGCUCAAUGUCUACAUGGUGUUGGACAUGUUGUCAAGAUGCUUAAGUUUUUGGCCUCAGUAUCCCCGUCUGUGAAAUGGGGCUAAUGAUAUUAAGUUCUAAAAAUUGUCUUCAGAAUAGCGAUAUUGGAAAUCUCUGAACAUGGUACCUGAUAUGACAGAGAGAUAUAUACAUACACACACAAACCUGUUUAUAUGCUCUUUCUAUCUGCUGUCUUGCCAUUACCCUAUCUAAGCAGUACUUCCGUUUCAGUGCUGCUAUCCCAAUCAUUGCUUUGCCUCUCUAGGCUAAUUUUGAAUUCCCUUAUUCUCCAGCCAUAACCUGAAUUCAGUUUCAGUCUCUGAGUCACUCCUAUUCAUCUCUUUCCCCUGAUAUUUCUGCUAAGAAUUACAGGUAUGCCUUCUACGGUGGUUGUUGAUUACACAUCAUUCUUACCAUCAUCACCAUUCUUAUCGUUUCCUUACGGCAUCCCACCCCCAACGACAACGCCAAUGUUGGCUUAUAAUCUUGAAGAGCAUAUUGAUGUUCCUUUUUAACAUGUAUUCUGCCUGUUUCUUCCUAAGAUGCAUUCCACCCACACCUGUGACUCCAUUUUUAUGCAGAAGCCCUGGUCUAGAAAAUCAUCCUGUUUUGAGUAUCAUUUACAAAGGCAGUUGUUACUUUCAUACAUUGUCUUUUACAAAAAUUAUAAUAUUGACUCUCCUUCUACCUUCUCUCUCAAAAAUCCUCAAAUGACUUUGGUCGCCCCUUAACAAAGCCCACAUUAUUCUAAGGCAAAAACAAGAAGGUCUUUUCAACUACAAAGCCUUUUAUAUUGAGAGCUUUCUUCAGGCUGGGUUGUGUUAAAAGCACUUUACAUGUAAGAAUGUAUCAAAUCUCAAAACUCCGUGCAGUACAUAACAUUAUCAUCCCCAUGUAAUAAAUCAGGCACCAGAUACAGCAAAGAACUAAAAAUGAUUAGAGAACACCUAGUUAAUAAGUGACAGAGCAGGCACUUAGACCCAUGUACUCUAGCACAACUCUUUUAUAGGUGACCCCAAAGUCACCUGUGAGCUUGAAGCUGGUUGAGUCAACACGCUCCCUGUACAAUGCUGGGGUGACAAGAUGUCAGCUCAGCCCUGAGCUCCAUAUCAGUGAACGUGCUAAGGAAGCAGGGUUCUCGGUAAGGAGUGAGCCAGGAGCUAAGGUUUCUUUGAAAAUACCCAAGCUGUCCCCUCUGAGGCUCACCCCCCACUCAGCACUCCAGCCCUGCUUGGGAAAAUGUGAGGGGAUGAUAGGGUUUCUAUUUCUCACACGGCACUUUUUCAAGUUCAUGAGUAGCCUAGAAGCCUGAUAAAAACACUUCUUUCUCCAAGAAGCUUGCACUCUUAGAAUCUGUCUGUGACCUACACCACAGCUCAUGGGAACACCGGAUCCUUAACCCACUGAGCAAGGCCAGGGAUUGAACCCACAUCCUCAUGGAUACUAGUCGGGUUCGUUAACUUAUACUAAGCCACAAUGGGAGCCCCCAGACCUAUUUCCUGACUUGGGUGGGCGGUAAACACAUUUUCACUUUGGGCCAGGUAUGUUUAUAUACUGUAUGUUUUCCUGUAUAUAAGUUAUAUUUUAAUCACAAUUUUUAAAUUAUAUCUAUUUAAGCUCUAAAACCACAAACAAAAAAUUUUUAAGUAUUUUAGCAUUCAUCUACAAAUUUAACCAUCUAAUGAUACUAUUAUAAUUGAGAGGAAGAUCUUAGAAAUGUCUUGCUAUUUUAAAAUAUUAACUGAGCUAGUACAUAAAACAGAAGCUAAGAUCUUCAAAGGUCCUUAAAUGGCUUAACUUUCUGCCUCCCCCAAUUCACACACCCAAGAUCCAACAAACUCAGCCACUUACCGUUGGCUGAACAUAAAAUAUUUUCUCACACCUGGAAUGCCCUUCAUCUAAUUCAUUCAACAAAUAUUUAGUCAAGAAGCAAAGCUGAACAAAACGACAGUCUUUGUGGAGUGGGAGAAAGAUAUCAUUCAAAUAAUCACGCCAAUUACAUCAAAGCAGAGCUGUGACGACUGCUCUGAAGAAAAGGUACUUGAUGACUGAGCUCUUCUCUUGGAAAGGAUGUGACUUAGAGAAGUCAGACUUGCCUAAGGAAGUAAUGGGGGACCCCGGAUCUAAAGGACUGAACCAGGGAAGAGGGAUGGGAGGAGCUUUCCAGGCAGAGGGAAAUGACUGUGCAAAAGCCCUGGGGUCAAGAGUUGGCUCAAGAAUAGGAGAAGCCAAAAGAAGGCAACUGCUUUCAAAAUGCCUCCUCUUUCAUCGCAUCCUGCUCAAAUAUCACUUCCUCUGUGACACUGUUCCCUCCUCUCCAUUUUCACUGUAAAUGGAUAUACUCCUCAUACCAUUAUAGCCUUCCUUUUAUCCUUCUGUUAGCACUUAGCUCACUGUAUUGCAAUUAUCUGUUUAUACAUCUGCCCCCCUCCCUAGAGUGAGAAUUCAUGGAGGACAAGAGCAAUAAAGCAUUAUCUCUGUGUCUCUCUGCAUACAUGGGCAAGCAUAGUUUAAAUGCUCAGUAAGUGUCUGACGAAUGAAACAACGGCAGAACCACGCCAUGCGCGCCCAGACAUAAACAUUUUACCUUCAAACUGUGUUAUAGCAUCUUUGUGAGUUUACAUCUUUCGCAGACUCAGAUGUAAAGUAGCAACUUUUAUAAGGUCUUUCCCUCUUCCCCCAACCUUCAUGAAUCAUAAGGUGUUAUUUACUUAAGCAUCAAAAACAGCUGCCCAGACUUUGUUAGCACAACGUAAUUCAUUUUAUAAAUAUCACACAAUUAUCUAAUUUCUAAAAGUCUCUGCAUUGCUUUGAAAGGUGCUAUUUUGGAAACAAGUCCUGGCCCAUCCUAGGGAAAUUCCCAAACCAGCAUUGUCAUUGCUAAGUAUAUCUACAGAAGCUGGGCAGGACCAGAGGGGAAGCAGAAAUGCACGGCUCCUCCACGGCCACUCAGAAGGCUGCCAGCCUGCUGUGGGAGGGGUCUGCACACCCCUGGUCAGGGCUGCAGUCACCUGGCCCACUUGCAUUAACAGGUAACAAGAGCACAGCUACACCAACAUUCGGCUUGCCUCUAUCAGAAGCGACUGGCAGCAGCUGCCUGCCUGCCUUUGGAGAACUGGGCAGCAGAAGCCAUGGUGAGGAAUGAACAGAGGCAGGCUUGUUCUGCUGGCCUUUUUGCUGAGCCCUCCACACGGGAAUCGCAGGCUCUGAGGUUUUCCUUACAUGGUGUCAGCAACCCCACUGCAGACUCUCCUCCCACCUCCCAACCCCAUCCCACCCUUUUAGGGAGAGGAAAAACAGUGAAAUCAAGAUUAG
RNAcentral lists this long non-coding RNA (6520 nucleotides) under Sus scrofa (pig). Its description in RNAcentral is "lncRNA (ENSSSCG00035036583.1)". The record is from RNAcentral. Lineage: Eukaryota; Metazoa; Chordata; Mammalia; Artiodactyla; Suidae.